GGCAGUGUGUGGAAUGAUUCCCACAUCUGUCUGGGGCCAGGUACUUCAGGAUCUCCUGGGACUUCUCCACUGAGACGUAUCUGCUGGCACUUCUACUUCCUCACUGCCCCAUGUGGUCCCUGCCCUGUGAUGGGAUGGGGAAAGGACAAAGGCUCCCACACCGGUUGAACGCUGGCAUCCCUUCCAACUCCCACGGCCUGGAGAAUCUGCAUGAAGUCCUUGUCCUUUGUGUUUGGCAAGCAGGAGUAGCACAGGAGGAGUAAGC
RNAcentral lists this long non-coding RNA (265 nucleotides) under Homo sapiens (human). RNAcentral's name for it is "HSALNT0053496". Lineage: Eukaryota; Metazoa; Chordata; Mammalia; Primates; Hominidae. The record is from RNAcentral.